This 1183-nucleotide long non-coding RNA is filed under the name Cricetulus griseus (Chinese hamster). Its description in RNAcentral is "lncRNA (ENSCGRG00015032117.1)". Lineage: Eukaryota; Metazoa; Chordata; Mammalia; Rodentia; Cricetidae. The record is from RNAcentral.
CGGCGAGGGCAGCGGGGCUGGGACUGGAACAGCCGCCGCGCGGACCCGACCAGCCUCGCCGGCUCCUGCCCGCAGGCCGCGAGCGCGACGACCGGGUCGACCAGGCGGCGGCGUGGGCGCCAGACGGGGCGAGCUUUCUGUGGCAAUAGGAGUCCCGCCCUAAGUUCUGAUUCCUACAGACUGGUUAAUCCAUGGAAGAAAUUGCAGUUGGAUCUUAUUUUUAACCACAAAUGAAUCCAGACAACUCAUAUGACUUGAGGCUGAGCUUUUGGGACAGUUAAGCAGCUGCUUUCUCCACUGUAUCCUGGCAUGGCCACAGGAGCUGGAGAUUGGUGAAUGAAUACAAUAAUCACCUUAUGUCAUGGUAAAUACCUAAAGUCUUAUGAAAGAAUGGAGAGCUUGAGCCCCCAAGGAGCCUGAGUGUUUCAGAUAGAGCAAAUUGUGAUCUAUUUUUUAUCUUUUACUAUGAAAAAGUGCCUAGGAAGAUCUUUGUGUAGAGAUGGGGAUAAUUAUGGCCCUCUAUAGUGGAAUUCUUAGACUAGUUGUGCUGCUAUAACAGACAAUAGAAGCUGGAAUCUACUGUAUUCUGGUCAGUUGCUGGACAACUCACCCUCCCCAAAUAAUGACUUCACCUUACAUAAACCAGGAUGUCUUGGGAUUUCUAAUGCUAUGAAGAGACACCAUGGCCAUGGCAACUCUUAUUAAAAAACAAAAAAACAAAAAAAAAACAUUUAGUUGGGGCUGGCUUAUGGUUUCAGAGGUUUAGUCUAUUAUUGUCAUAGUGGGACAUGGUGGUGUGCAGUCAGACAUGGUGCUGAAGAAGGAGCUGAGAGGCCUUCAUCUUGGUCCAUAGGCAGGCAGCAAAAGCAACUGUGUCCCACAUUGGGUGUAGCUUGAGCAUAUGAGACCCCCAAACCCCACCUCCACAGUGAUAUACUCUCUCCAAAAAGGCCACACCUUCUAAUAGUGCCACUUCCUAUGGGCCAGUCAUUCAAAUGCAUGAGACUAUGGGAGGUCAUUUCUAUUCAAAUCACCAUACAAGGUGAGUAUGGUGGCACACACCGUUAAUCCCAGCACUCAGGAGGGAGAAGCAGGCAGACCUCUGACUUUGAGGCCAGCUUGGUCUGUAUAUCAAGUUCCAGGCCAGACAGCUACAUAGUGAGACCCUAUCUCAAAAACAGAG